GCAGGAGGUGGGGCGUCUGCGCUGCAGGGCUCAGAGCUUAAGGACCGAGAGACAAAGGCAGGAAUCCCGCCUCUUCCUGCUGCUUCCCGCCCACUCGGCAACUUCCCACCUACCCCGACUGUGCCGCCGGCCUUAAAGGCCUACUGAUGGAUGACCUCUGUGCCAGAAGCUACGAUCCCAGAGAAGAGAUAUUUGGGAGAGUGGGGGGCUCAAAAAAAUGAGUAAAGCGAGACUCAUAGAAAUUGAGUAGCUUGUCCUGCAGCCACAAAGCUAAGUCGGUGGAAGAACGGGGAUUCAUAUCCAGUCUGGAUCCAGGCCUCACACUCUUUUUCAUUAUUGAGUGGGGUCUUUCAUCUAUGGCUCUUUUCGGUCAUACUAGAGGAGCAAAAAAAGUACUUUUGCUUGAUGGCCCUAAAGCCUACUAGCUCCCUAGGAAAGCCUUCAGUCCGGCAAACCAAAUGUAAACCUUUGCAGCUGGGAUUUCCAUACCAUAACUGACUGGAGUGAAGGCUUCCACAAGAACUGGCACCAUGAACAAGCCCCCCGCAUGUUCAACCAGGGGAGCAGGCCUGCGCUGGGGCCUUUGCUGGGGCGGUAGGGGAAUAACAAUGGAGGUAGAUCUGAAGAAGCAAAUACAUUAAAAAAGCAUCACUCUGACCAUCCUCUUUGGGCGAAAGCCUGUUGGAUGGUGGAUGAACACAUUAUGCGACACAGAAACACCAAAGUUGCAUUGGGGGCACCGACAUUUUGUCCCAUCUUUCACUGGGGCACAGCAAUGGAUAGAUUCCUUGUACAAAGUGCAGAUGAGGAGACACCCAUGUGGUCUUGCGCCACCACCAUCCAUCUGAAGAAACGGUGGCCCUGGAAAGUCUGCUGUUUCUGAUUUUAACCUUACAGAUUGAAGGUGUGAGGAGGCCAAGGGCAGACAGCACGUCCCAGAGAUGGUCACCAUGAAACAACCCGCCCCUUACCACGUGACGUUGGUUGUCCUCCAUCAAGAGACGCAUGUUUCCUCUCCUGGAAUCCGAUGAGCCUAUUACUGCGGUGGAAGUGGCCCUAUGGGACUUCCACGCUUAGGUCUAAGAGGGGAUAUAGUUUCUGAUUUGGAGGAUGCUUCAUCAGUAAACUUAACCACCAUGUUGUGGGGAUGUCCAGGCCACACAGGGAGGCGCUUGGUAGGUGUUCCAGCUAUGACUUCAGCUGACAUUCCAGCCAAUGGCCAGAAUCCAUGGGCCAUGUAAGUGAAGGAACCUUUGAGAAGACUCCAGUACCAAACGCUGUCAGACUGAACUGGAAAAAAACUCUGAGAAUUGUUCCCCUGAGCUGAGGAAAACUUCAGAAUUGUGAGAGUUACUAAUAAUAAAAUGUUGUUUUUUUUAAGCCUCUAAGUUUUAAGGGGACACAUUAGGAAGUUGUAGAUGACUGGAACAAGAUAGAAUGUUCUUUUCAAUUCCCUAACUAAGUAGCCUUGUGGGCUCUAAGGAAUUCACAGCAUUCUGAUCACAGCAUUACACUAUGGAGCUAGAAGUCAGACUGCACUGCCAAUUAGGUAGUAAUCCGUACUCACCUUGACUUAGGUCUCAGUUCAGUCAAGACUACCAGGAAAACUAAAAAAGGCUGACAAUGUUAGGGGGAUAGUUAAAAAAAAAAAGACCAUAUAGUCCUGGCUGGUGUGGUUCAGUGGAUUGAGUGCCGGAUGCAAACCUAAGGGUUGCAAGUUCACUUGUGGGCCAGGUCCCCAGUGCGGUGCAUGUGAGAGGCAACCACACACUGAUGUUUCUUCUCUCCCUCUCUUUCUCCCUCCCUCCCUUUAUUUCUAAAAAUAAAUAAGUAAAAUCUUUUAAAAAAAGACUAUAUAGAAAAAGGCAGUUACAAUGUGAAAAAUAGUAUCAUUUUGAUUUUAAAAGUAUGUAUAUUUCUGUACAUAACUAAGCUCACUGGGAGCAUUGAUUUUUGUCUGUUUUAUUUAUGCUCUACACUCAAAGCCUGGAGUAGUUCCUGGCACAGAGACAUAGCAAGAAUAUGUUGAAUAAAUGAGUGAAUGUAAACACAUCUGGUAGACUAAGCACCAAAAUUUACUUUUGAUGAAUAGAAUUAUGUGUGGUUUUUCUUCUUUUUUUCUUCUUUGAUUUUUCUAACUUCUGUACCAUGGUCAUGGAUUACUUUUAUAUUGUACUUAUAAAGGGCUGUAGUGUUUUAUUCUAAAAUAAUAAAAAAUGCUAAAGACCUACAUAUAAGCAUAAUUCAAAUCUUUAAGCAAAAUAUUCUCAUAGGAAAAAAGACGCAUGAUAAUAA
Long non-coding RNA from Phyllostomus hastatus (greater spear-nosed bat), 2295 nucleotides. RefSeq lists it as uncharacterized. The transcript is spliced from 4 exons. Lineage: Eukaryota; Metazoa; Chordata; Mammalia; Chiroptera; Phyllostomidae. The record is from RefSeq and is a predicted model, not a curated record.